GAUGAACGCUGGCGGCGUGCUUAACACAUGCAAGUCGAACGGAAGAAUUAAGCGGAAGUUUCGGAUGGAAACUUAAUUCUUUAGUGGCGGACGGGUGAGUAGCGCGUGGGUAACCUGCCGUAUACAGGGGGAUAACACUUAGAAAUAGGUGCUAAAUACCGCAUAAGCGCACAGCGUCGCAUGACACAGUGUGAAAAGCCGAGACGGUAUACGAUGGACCCGCGUCUGAUUAGCUAGUUGGUGGGGUAGAGGCCUACCAAGGCGACGAUCAGUAGCCGGCCUGAGAGGGUGACCGGCCACGUUGGGACUGAGACACGGCCCAAACUCCUACGGGAGGCAGCAGUGGGGAAUAUUGCACAAUGGGGGAAACCCUGAUGCAGCGACGCCGCGUGAGUGAAGAAGUAUUUCCGGUAUGUAAAGCUCUAUCAGCAGGGAAGAAAAUUGACGGUACCUGACUAAGAAGCCCCGGCUAACUACGUGCCAGCAGCCGCGG
RNAcentral lists this ribosomal RNA (493 nucleotides) under uncultured bacterium. Its description in RNAcentral is "bacterial SSU rRNA". It matches the Rfam family "Bacterial small subunit ribosomal RNA", at positions 28 to 520 of the family's 1533-position model. The record is from RNAcentral.